Molecule: ribosomal RNA, 347 nt
Filed under: uncultured bacterium
Lineage: Bacteria
Description: partial 16S ribosomal RNA
Rfam family: Bacterial small subunit ribosomal RNA
Source: RNAcentral
CCUACGGGAGGCAGCAGUCGAGAAUCAUUCACAAUGGGGGAAACCCUGAUGGUGCGACGCCGCGUGGGGGAAUGAAGGUCUUCGGAUUGUAAACCCCUGUCAUGUGGGAGCAAAUUAAAACGAUAGUACCACAAGAGGAAGAGACGGCUAACUCUGUGCCAGCAGCCGCGGUAAUACAGAGGUGUCAAGCGUUGUUCGGAAUCCCUGGGCGUAAGGCGUGCGUAGGCUGGUUCGUAAGUCGUGUGUGAAAGGCGCGGGCUCAACCCGCGGACGGCACAUGAUAUUGCGAGACUAGAGUAAUGGAGGGGGAACCGGAAUUCCCGGUGUAGCAGUGGAAUGCGUAGAUA